AGUGAACGCUGGCGGUAGGCCUAACACAUGCAAGUCGAACGGCAGCACAGUAAGAGCUUGCCCUUACGGGUGGCGAGUGGCGGACGGGUGAGGAAUACAUCGGAAUCUACUUUUUCGUGGGGGAUAACGUAGGGAAACUUACGCUAAUACCGCAUACGACCUACGGGUGAAAGCAGUGGAUCUUCGGACCUUGCGCGAUUGAAUGAGCCGAUGUCGGAUUAGCUAGUUGGCGGGGUAAAGGCCCACCAAGGCGACGAUCCGUAGCUGGUCUGAGAGGAUGAUCAGCCACACUGGAACAGAGACACGGUCCAGACUCCUACGGGAGGCAGCAGUGGGGAAGAUUGGACAAUGGGCGCAAGCCUGAUCCAGCCAUACCGCGUUGGUGAAGAAGGCCUUCGGGUUGUAAGGCCCUUUUGUUGGGAAAGAAAAGCAACAGGUUAAUACCCAGCUGUUCUGACGGUACCCAAAGAAUGAGCACCGGCUAACUUCGUG
RNAcentral lists this ribosomal RNA (492 nucleotides) under uncultured bacterium. Its description in RNAcentral is "partial 16S ribosomal RNA". It matches the Rfam family "Bacterial small subunit ribosomal RNA", at positions 29 to 507 of the family's 1533-position model. The record is from RNAcentral.